Microcebus murinus (gray mouse lemur) is the source of this 577-nucleotide non-coding RNA. The record is from RefSeq and is a predicted model, not a curated record. Lineage: Eukaryota; Metazoa; Chordata; Mammalia; Primates; Cheirogaleidae.
GCUGGUCUGGAACUCCUGAGCUCAAGUGACCCUCUCGCCUCUACCUCCCAGAGUGCUAGCAUUACAGGUGUGAAAAUCUAGAUUUAAUUGAUCAGUCUGUGUCUUGCCAUCAGAAUGACUUUAGUGAGCUGUACCAGUUCUAGGCCAGACAAUGUGCUCCAUUGAGAGAAGAGAGCGGUCCUAUGGCUGAUAUCCAUUACAGGACUGAAUCACCAGAAGCUGAGUGCAGGAGUUGAAGAUUUAGCUGUGAACUAAAUCAAUAUAGCAGACCUACUGGGAAGCACUCACGUCCUCUACACAGGAUGAGCUGAAAGACUUCUGAAUGUAAAACAUACAUUAUGAGCAAACUUGAGAAGAUUACACAAGGGCUAUGAACCAAGAUACCAUGUUUGCUGAUGUUGUGGGACAUUGCUAUGGAAAGGACAGUCCCUGGAUGAGCAGCAAUGGGCAGCACCAAUGCAGAUUUGAGUGCCCCUCCAGGGUUACUGAACUAGACUCUGCAUUUUGACAGAUCCCUAGGUGAUUCCAAUGCACAUUAAACAGAAGCAGUGUCUUCGGGCUUCUGUGGGAUGUGGUU